This is a long non-coding RNA of Gorilla gorilla gorilla (western lowland gorilla), 2672 nucleotides long. RefSeq lists it as uncharacterized. NCBI's taxonomy places the organism in Eukaryota, Metazoa, Chordata, Mammalia, Primates, Hominidae. The record is from RefSeq and is a predicted model, not a curated record. The transcript is spliced from 4 exons.
UCCCUCCUGCCUCCCAAGUAGCUGGGACCACAGGCACCUGCCAACAUGCACACGUGUCACCAUGCCCAGCUAAUUUUAAAAAAUUUUUUUGGAGAGACAAGGUCUCCCUCUGUUGCUCAGGCCAGUCUUGAAGUCCUGGGCUCAUGCAAUCCUCUCGCCUUGGCCUCCCAAAAUGCUGGGAUUACAGGUAUAAGCCACUGUGCCUGGCCUCACAAACUUCAUAAUAGACAUUCUAGAAAAUGACAUGAGAUUUGGCAUCAUGGACUAGGUAACUUCUGUCCCAUAAUAUUGGCCAAGCUACUGUGGUGAGUGGGGAGAAAUGUGGAAUAAAGAGGCUAAGCCUGACAGGUCCCCUUGGGUGAGUACUUCUGCUCUGGAACAAGAGCAUCAAGGAAACUCAUAUUAAUUAAGUUUUCACCACCUGCCAGGCACUUUCACAUAGGCUCGCUCAUUCAAUCCUCUAGGUGACCCUUAAGAGAGGUAACACACUCUGUAUUCUUUAGAAAGAUUGAACAACCUUAGAGAAGGUAAUGAACUUGUCUAAGUUGGGGAAGCCAGUGAAGGGCAAAGCCAGGGUCAGACCCCAGAACUGUGUGGCUCCUUUCUGUUCUCCAGUGCUGCAGGUAGUGUGGUUUUAAGACAAAACAGAGUGAAGGGGACUUUCACAGAAAAGACAAGUUCAUGGGUGAAUUCCAUGUGUGUGUAUUGGGCACUGUAGAUUCUCACUUUCAGGGUGGCCUUCCAAUUGGUGUGAUAAUGAGAUACCCUAGAGAAACCUUCAUCUUUCCUUCCUCCUCAAAGUGCUGCCCACUCCCAGAUGAAGGGACCAGCAUUUGGCCAACAGUAAGGGCUUUUAUGAUCUCUGGCUGUGAAAGGUUAUGGCAGUGGGAUGGACAAUGCCUCUAUUCUCUCUCAAUUUUCUUUCUUGUGGAAAAGGCAUCUGCACAUGUGGCUUCUUUGAAUUGAAGAUGUGUGUUAAAGCAUUAGGAAGAAAUCAGCCCAAAUGCUAAUACUCCAUCUGAUGAUGCAGACUCAUUUACUAUAUGUGCUUCUCUCCAUUAAAAGUCAGAAGAGAAAGGUAACAAUGAGAGACAUGUUUACAAGGCCUUAUCGAAUAAGGAUCCUAGACUUCCUCCUCUUCUUAUUAUUCACAACUGUAUUCAGUACAGUUGCAAAGCUGGCAAAAAAACUAGCUUCUUCCAUUUUUUUUCUGUGCUUUUGAUUCAUGUUUUGGUUUCGGUUUCUUUUCUCUUACCACUUUUAAGGGGAUUUUCUUUGUCAGGCCCUGGUUCUCUGGCACAGACUCCUGGAAUCCACAUAUCCUUGGCUUCACAAAAAACCUACUCCCACUUCUCAAGGCCUGACAGUUUUCAGAUCCCUCUGAAUCUUCCAAGAGAGCAAAGGCAUUAUUCCUCCACGUCUGCUGGAGGGCAGGCUGUCUCUGUAGCAGGGGAUGGGGGAUUUCUUCUAUUGUAAUCAGCAGUCAUUAGUUUUGGGAGUCAUAGUUGGCCUAUCUUUAUUUCAGACUUUAUCCAUCAGUUUUCAAAUAGGAAGACAGUGUUUACUAAUGAACUUUAUCUUUCCUGGGGUCAGCAGCCCAAUAAAGCAAUUGUUUGGAUUUGGGAAUGUAAGGACCAUCUCCUCCAAGCUAAACUCUGAAGUAUAAGAUGUUGCCUCCUGCUGUGCAGUCUUCACAUCCAAAGAGGCACUAAGAAGCAAAACAUCUGGGAUGCUCCAUUAUAGAAGUUUCCUGGGAAUUGGAUGCUGAGAUGAAAAGCAUAUGAGUAGCUUUCUUCCAACAUUCUUCUUGGUGAUUAACCGACUAUCCAAGUACAAAGUUGCUCCUAAUUAACCCUGAGGACCCCAAUAUAAAGUUGCAAGUGAAAGAAGUCCUGCUACUCUAAAGAAUAACUAAACCAGACUGGAGUCACUGAAGCUGAUGGAAGAACACCUCAGGCAUGAGUGCCAUGGUGACGUCAUCAGCUCCGUUCACAACCACUCACCAUGAGGCCAUUGCUCCUGUGGAGGACACUGGCUUAGGACUCAUGAAGUAGUACCUCAGGAAGGUGGCUCUGUAAGUGUUCCUUCCACCAGCUCCAAGACACAAUGAGAUGGAGAGAAUUGGAACAAUUCCCUAUGAUUGCAGCUGGAUAUUUUCACAUGAACUAUCUAGUAAUGAAGGCAAUGGCAUGUGGUGUGGCAAAGACUGGCCCCAGAUUACAUUUCCAGUCCUUUUGUAUUGAGGAGGGGCUUUGGGACCAAGACAGUAGGAGUGAGGGUACAGGUUCCACAUUCUAUUUCUCUCUUAGUUUUCUGUGGUUAUCUUGGUGACUGCAUGGUAAAGAUGGAGGUGACAAAAGAUGGAAGGAGCCUGGAUCCCUGAAUGACUUCAUGGUGCAGAGCCUUACACUACCCCCAACUCAUACUAAAACAGCGGUGGGAGGAACAAUAGACCAUUAUUCUGUUAAGGUGCUGAAAUUGUAGAGCUGUUAAUUUGAACAGUUAGAGUUUCUUAUACUGAUACAGUAUCCUUACCCUGGAUUGUUGAAAUAAUUAGUCCAAAUAGUUUCUUUGCCUAAAACUGUGGACAGAGCCUAAGCAAUACUGAAUCCAAGACAAGGUAUAUUUAUCAAAUGCUACUCACUAUACAAUACAGAUGAAUGUGGCACUUA